AGCGUAAAAGCUGAUCUUGAUUUUGUUUAUUUUUUUGUUAGAUAUUAAAAACAUGUCGAAUAGAUGCUUUAAUUAAAAUGUAAUUGUUAUUAAUUUACAAAGUAAUUUGCCUGACAUGCAAUACCUGAUAUUAAGGUGCAGUCACAUUUGGCGAAGGCAGUUUUGGCAAGCAAAAAUGUAGUUUUAAUAGGAAUCCAAUCAAGAAUUUAGCAUUUUGAGAGGGCAAAAUAUUUCCCAUGCAGUUUUCGCUACGGGUUCAAGUUGGUUGCGGAAAUUCGUCACAUUGAACAACCGAAAGCGGCUAGAUUUGAAAGUGACUUUUGUGUGACCUGUGGUUCAUGUAUCGCUACACUAUUGACAAUACACAAUGGACCUUUUGUCCAUGAAAUUGUGACUGCACCAUAACACUGUUACUCUGCAAAAAAAAAAAAGCAUCCACUUUUGUGUUGUGCAGUGAUAAUGUGAAUGCAUAUUUCACAAUAUUACUGUGGCUGUUUAUAUCGCUAGGCGUUAAUGUCUUCUAGGCCAGGACCAUAACUGUUAUAUUAUGUAAAAGAUGGCACAAAAAACACUUAUUUUGUAAUAAUACUUUUUUUCAUGUAAAAAUUCUUAGCAUAAUAUUUGCUCCGAUGUUUGGAAUUGGCUUUAAUGGAAUAGAUUGCCAAGGGCAUUAGAUAUUCAAAUCACUGCACGAAACCCAGUUACAUUUAAAGAUACUUAUUAUCAAGGAUUCACCUUGUACAGCUUCAAUGGUCAAAUUCAGUCCCAGAAUUCCUCUGUGAGAUACUUACUCCAUAAGUCUUAAGAAAUUUCCAUUUAAGUUGAGAAGCGAGCAGCUGCAUGGAGAGUAACCUUUCCUGUGUGUACAGCUUAGCUGUUUAAAUCUUUCUGUACAACAAGUGGGCUGAAAAAAACGACAUGGAUAUAACCAGUAAAAUAAGUAGAAUUACCGUUUUUACUUUCCUUAACUCAAAUGUUAAGGGUUUAUUCCAUUUCAUUUCUCAUAUUUUUUUCAAAAUUUUAGAUUUAAAAAUUAAAGCAUUGUUGGAGAUAUUUUAAAAUCUCACUUGCGAGGUAGAUUUCGUCAAGAAUGAGAGAUAUUGUUAUGGAUAUGAGGGUGGUUGGUAAGCCCCUCUUAUUGUAUAGGUAGGUGAGGGUUGUGGUAAGGCCCUCUGUUAACUGAUAAAAAUGAGGGUGGAUGGUAAGGCCCUCGUGUUGGGUAGGUGCCUUGAGGGUGUUUGGUAAGCCCCUCUAGUUUGGUAUGGUAGUCUGAGGGUUGUUGGUAAGGCCCUCUAGUUGAGAUGUAAGGAGAGGUGUGUGCGAAAGUACUUGAGGGUUUGAUGGUAAGGCCCUCAAAAUAGGUUUCAACUGAACGUCAUCGACAGUGCAGACCAGAGUAGCUUCGUGGAUUUCAUCGUAUCACUUGUUGACGGAUUGGAUCCCUUAUUCCUUGAUUCAAGGUUGUCCAGUUUUGGUUAAAAAAAAUAAUAAAAUUGAGUAUCAAAUACACUGAAGGACAUUUUGAUUCAAGGCAGCUGGAAUCACCAGGCUACGUUUCCGUGGGGUUUUCCAUCAAGGACUUCAUCCUUGGCCAGGUGUUAUGGUAAGAUAGCAUCUCCAGGUAAUGUGGUAACACUGAGAUAAUGACUAAAUACUUAAGGGCUUAGACUUUUACCUUAGACCAGCAGAAGGAAAAGGGCCUAAAGGUAUUGGCCAUAUUGAAGUGUGAGAAUUUUGUAACCUAUUUAAAAGCUGUUGUUCUAGUAUAUCUCAUAUUUAUAAUCUAAAAGUAAAGCUCUGCAAAAUGUUUUAUUUUUUCCCCUUUGGUUUGUCGUGACGUGUGUGUGAAUGGUGCUUUGAUGCUUAUAGAAAUUGUGUAUGAGUGUGAAUGAAUGUGUAAGAUUUUGGAGAAUGGAGAGUGUGGCUUUUAGCUUAAUUGUAUUCACUAAGUGCCUUUUUUCUUAUUGUUGCUUUAAGAUUUAAUGAGAAUAAAACUGUUAAUGGGUAAUUAUUGUGGAUUACCCUAAAUUUGGAGAUGAUCUGUGUGGUCCAAGCUGUUGACUGCAAUGCUUCCUUGUUUUUGUGAUUUACCUUGAACUGCCUCGAUUUAUAUUUGCAUCACUUAAGUUCUGUAGCACUCAAAUGUUCCUUCAUAUUUCUUUUUGAACAUCAGAGAGAUUUUUUUUCAGAAUUUUACUAAGCUUUUCAAAGCACAUGCUUUAGUUUCUUUGAACUUUGUCAAAUGGUGUCUG
This is a long non-coding RNA of Sinocyclocheilus grahami, 2252 nucleotides long. RefSeq lists it as uncharacterized. NCBI's taxonomy places the organism in Eukaryota, Metazoa, Chordata, Actinopteri, Cypriniformes, Cyprinidae. The transcript is spliced from 2 exons. The record is from RefSeq and is a predicted model, not a curated record.